UACGGGGGGGGUAAGCGUUGUUCGGAAUUACUGGGCGUAAAGGGCUCGUAGGCGGCCAACUAAGUCAGACGUGAAAUCCCUCAGCUUAACUGGGGAACUGCGUCUGAUACUGGAUGGCUUGGAUCCGGAAGAGGGAUGCGGAAUUCCUGGUGUAGCGGUGAAAUGCGCAGAUAUCAGGAGGAACACCGGUGGCGAAGGCGGGUCUCUGGGCCGAUACUGACGCUGAGGAGCGAAAGCGUGGGGAGCGAACAGG
Molecule: ribosomal RNA, 253 nt
Filed under: uncultured bacterium
Lineage: Bacteria
Description: partial 16S ribosomal RNA
Rfam family: Bacterial small subunit ribosomal RNA
Source: RNAcentral